RNAcentral lists this long non-coding RNA (324 nucleotides) under Nicotiana benthamiana. Its description in RNAcentral is "long non-coding RNA (NBEN_LNC013534)". Lineage: Eukaryota; Viridiplantae; Streptophyta; Magnoliopsida; Solanales; Solanaceae. The record is from RNAcentral.
AAGUGACGACUCUGAAAUCUUAAUAACUAAAUUUGUCCCAAUUGCCGUUUAAUUGGAAAUACUCCUUUAUGCCCUCGGGGAUGUAGUGAAAAAGGAAAUGUGACAGCUCUGGCGACUCUUCUAGGGACAAGAACCUAGAACGUUUUGUUUCGGGUUCAAAAUUCGAGCUUAAAUAAAUUGUAGUAUUUGAUUAUAUCUGAUUUCCCUACAUAUUUUAUGCUGAAUGUGCUAAAUGUUUACAGCUUUGAUAUUAUCUGAACUGUAUAAAAACUGUGCCAAAACCCUUCUCUUAUCACCUACGGGGUUGUGCUUACUGGUUGAGAC